CGAUAAUCUCCGAGGAGAAAAGCAGGGGAUCGCAAGACCUUGCGCUUUUGGAGCGGCCGAUGUCUGAUUAGCUAGUUGGUGAGGUAAAGGCUUACCAAGGCGUCGAUCAGUAGCUGGUCUGAGAGGACGACCAGCCACACUGGGACUGAGACACGGCCCAGACUCCUACGGGAGGCAGCAGUGGGGAAUUUUGGACAAUGGGGGAAACCCUGAUCCAGCCAUGCCGCGUGAGUGAAGAAGGCCUUCGGGUUGUAAAGCUCUUUCAGCCGGAACGAAACGGUCACGGUUAAUACCUGUGACUACUGACGGUACCGGAAGAAGAAG
Molecule: ribosomal RNA, 324 nt
Filed under: Nitrosospira sp.
Lineage: Bacteria; Pseudomonadati; Pseudomonadota; Betaproteobacteria; Nitrosomonadales; Nitrosomonadaceae
Description: bacterial SSU rRNA
Rfam family: Bacterial small subunit ribosomal RNA
Source: RNAcentral